RNAcentral lists this transfer RNA (70 nucleotides) under Ornithorhynchus anatinus (platypus). It matches the Rfam family "tRNA". From Rfam's summary of the family: Transfer RNA (tRNA) molecules are approximately 80 nucleotides in length. Their secondary structure includes four short double-helical elements and three loops (D, anti-codon, and T loops). Further hydrogen bonds mediate the characteristic L-shaped molecular structure. tRNAs have two regions of fundamental functional importance: the anti-codon, which is responsible for specific mRNA codon recognition, and the 3' end, to which the tRNAs corresponding amino acid is attached (by aminoacyl-tRNA synthetases). tRNAs cope with the degeneracy of the genetic code in two manners: having more than one tRNA (with a specific anti-codon) for a particular amino acid; and 'wobble' base-pairing, i.e. permitting non-standard base-pairing at the 3rd anti-codon position. The record is from Rfam by way of RNAcentral. Lineage: Eukaryota; Metazoa; Chordata; Mammalia; Monotremata; Ornithorhynchidae.
AGCAGUGUGGCCCAGUGGAAAGAGCAUGUCUUAGAGUAAGAGGAUCUGGGUUCUAAUCCCAGCUCUGCCA